UACGGAGGGUGCAAGCGUUAUCCGGAUUCACUGGGUUUAAAGGGUGCGUAGGCGGCUAAAUAAGUCAGUGGUGAAAGCUUACAGCUUAACUGUGAAACUGCCAUUGAAACUGUUUAGCUUGGAUCUGGUUGAAGUGGGCGGAAUACAUCAUGUAGCGGUGAAAUGCUUAGAUAUGAUGUAGAACACCGAUUGCGAAGGCAGCUCACUAUGCCAACAUUGACGCUGAGGCACGAAAGCGUGGGGAGCGAACAGG
This 253-nucleotide ribosomal RNA is filed under the name uncultured bacterium. Its description in RNAcentral is "partial 16S ribosomal RNA". It matches the Rfam family "Bacterial small subunit ribosomal RNA", at positions 524 to 776 of the family's 1533-position model. The record is from RNAcentral.